UGAUUAGAGGGGGAUUCACCCACCUGGUGUCCCAGGUCUAAAUCAGUCCCUGAUUAGAGGGGGAUUCACCCACCUGGUGUCCCAGGUCUAAAUCAGUCCCUGAUUAGAGGGGGAUUCACCCACCUGGUGUCCCAGGUCUAAAUCAGUCCCUGAUUAGAGGGGAAUCACCCACCUGGUGUCCCAGGUCUAAAUCAGUCCCUGAUUAGAGGGGGAUUCACCCACCUGGUGUCCCAGGUCUAAAUCAGUCCCUGAUUAGAGGGGGAUUCACCCACCUGGUGUCCCAGGUCUAAAUCAGUCCCUGAUUAGAGGGGAAUCACCCACCUGGUGUCCCAGGUCUAAAUCAGUCCCUGAUUAGAGGGGGAUUCACCCACCUGGUGUCCCAGGUCUAAAUCAGUCCCUGAUUAGAGGGGAAUCACCCACCUGGUGUCCCAGGUCUAAAUCAGUCCCUGAUUAGAGGGGAAUCACCCACCUGGUGUCCCAGGUCUAAAUCAGUCCCUGAUUAAAGGGGAAUCACCCACCUGGUGUCCCAGGUCUAAAUCAGUCCCUGAUUAGAGGGGGAUUCACCCACCUGGUGUCCCAGGUCUAAAUCAGUCCCUGAUUAGAGGGGAAUCACCUACCUGGUGUCCCAGGUCUAAAUCAGUCCCUGAUUAGAGGGGAAUCACCCACCUGGUGUCCCAGGUCUAAAUCAGUCCCUGAUUAGAGGGGAAUCACCCACCUGGUGUCCCAGGUCUAAAUCAGUCCCUGAUUAGAGGGGAAUCACCCACC
Molecule: long non-coding RNA, 765 nt
Organism: Oncorhynchus keta (chum salmon)
Lineage: Eukaryota; Metazoa; Chordata; Actinopteri; Salmoniformes; Salmonidae
Exons: 5
Source: RefSeq, a predicted model, not a curated record